Erpetoichthys calabaricus (reedfish) is the source of this 974-nucleotide long non-coding RNA. RefSeq lists it as uncharacterized. Lineage: Eukaryota; Metazoa; Chordata; Cladistia; Polypteriformes; Polypteridae. The record is from RefSeq and is a predicted model, not a curated record. The transcript is spliced from 3 exons.
GUAUGUAAGUGAACUUCUUACUGGAAAAGAUGGAAACUUUUGAAUUUUAUAACGUAUUGGAAGAUGUGUCGCCUGAAAAAUUUUACUCCAGUCGAAUGAAGAGGGAGCGAAAUGAAAUGUGAGGUGUAUCUGUGAACUUUAUAAUGGACAUGUACAGCUUUUUGAUGCCCAGUGGUAACCAGCCUACCAUGUGGCUCAACAGAUGCCAGUGUACCUGAAUUCUGAGACACAAUUGGACAUUCUUUUCUUCUGCUUUUAAGAUUCCCAGUUUGGGAUGAUGUGCAGUUCAUGUUAGAUUUGCUAUUUCUACAGUUACAGUGAAGUAGAAGAGUCUGGCCGUGUUAUGGGGCAGCAGUUAAAGAAGGAAGGAGCGAUGUGUACCAUGUUGAAGUAGCAGCUGGCCUUCCUGCCUGGCACUUGUAGAAUCCUCCAUCUCAACCUCUGCUCAGAUCUGCUGUGCCUUUGCCAAGUGAUCACGAGGUAUUGGCCUUUUUGUUUUUUUUUUUUCUUCUGAAAACUGUCUCAGUCUCAUGACACUGGCUGCUGGCUGCCUGUCUCACGUAGAACUGAUUUCAAGGUUCUAUUAAAUAAUUAGAAAGCUUUGAGUAUUUUAGACCCUGCCUGUAUUUUGGAGUGUCUGCUAUCAACAUUUCUUUUCUGAAACAUUGCUUUGCUUUUUAUUCCAAGAUCAACCAUAAAAACUGGCAGCUUUCUGUACUGUGGAAUGCUUUGCCAAUAGAGAAGUGCCAGGCUACAAAUGUCAAGCAUUUCAAAAAACAUCAACAAGCCCAUUUUUCUAAUUUGGCUUUUUCUUAAUUACUUGCAUUGGUUGUAAUAGAUUAGAAAUGGUACUGUGUACACUUUGUAAGCUCUGCACUGGGCACUAACGUCUGCUGAUUUUCUCUGUUGUUUUUUUUCCACUUUAUUGCAAUGGUGCCCCCCUUCAUCUCCACCAUCUGUUAAAUCAACUCCAA